This 616-nucleotide ribosomal RNA is filed under the name Pleuroflammula praestans. RNAcentral describes it as "eukaryotic LSU rRNA". The stretch from base 229 to 382 matches the Rfam family "5.8S ribosomal RNA". Lineage: Eukaryota; Fungi; Basidiomycota; Agaricomycetes; Agaricales; Crepidotaceae. The record is from RNAcentral.
GGUGGGGUUGUCGCUGGCCUCUCCGGAGGCAUGUGCACGCCCUGUCAUCUUUAUAUCUCCACCUGUGCACCCUUUGUAGACUUUGGAACUUGUAUCUCGUUUGUUCGAGGCGUGAGGAUUUUGGCCCUGCCUGUCCUUGAGGUUUCCGAGGCCUACGUUUUUUCAAUAUACUCCAACGAAUGUAAUAGAAUGUGUCAAAAGGGUCUUUGUACCUAUAAAACUUUAUACAACUUUCAGCAACGGAUCUCUUGGCUCUCGCAUCGAUGAAGAACGCAGCGAAAUGCGAUAAGUAAUGUGAAUUGCAGAAUUCAGUGAAUCAUCGAAUCUUUGAACGCAUCUUGCGCUCCUUGGUAUUCCGAGGAGCAUGCCUGUUUGAGUGUCAUUAAAUUCUCAACUUGCGAACUUUGUUGUUUGCAGCUUGGAUGUGGGGGUUUUUCAUUGUGGGCUUCUGACGAGGUCUGCUCCCCUGAAAUGUAUUAGCGGUGCCUUCUGUGGAACCGUCUGUCGGUGUGAUACCUAUCUACGCCGUCGACGUCUGCGUGCUUGCCUGCUUCUAACGGUCCAUUGACUUGGACGAACUAUACAAAUGACCAUUUUGACCUCAAAUCAUGUAGGA